RNAcentral lists this ribosomal RNA (234 nucleotides) under uncultured Lactobacillus sp. RNAcentral's name for it is "partial 16S ribosomal RNA". It matches the Rfam family "Bacterial small subunit ribosomal RNA", at positions 128 to 355 of the family's 1533-position model. The record is from RNAcentral. Lineage: Bacteria; Bacillati; Bacillota; Bacilli; Lactobacillales; Lactobacillaceae.
GCCCAAGAGAUCGGGAUAACACCUGGAAACAGAUGCUAAUACCGGAUAACAACAGAUGAUGCCUAUCAACUAUUUAAAAGAUGGUUCUGCUAUCACUCUUGGAUGGACCUGCGGUGCAUUAGCUAGUUGGUAGGGUAACGGCCUACCAAGGCGAUGAUGCAUAGCCGAGUUGAGAGACUGAUCGGCCACAUUGGGACUGAGACACGGCCCAAACUCCUACGGGAGGCAGCAGCA